Long non-coding RNA from Osmia lignaria (orchard mason bee), 803 nucleotides. RefSeq lists it as uncharacterized. Lineage: Eukaryota; Metazoa; Arthropoda; Insecta; Hymenoptera; Megachilidae. The record is from RefSeq and is a predicted model, not a curated record.
UGUACAUACCGAUUUGUAUGUGUAAAUAUAUACGCAUGUCCCUACAUAUUACAAGCUUCAGCUAUAGAGAAGCCAAGUCCCCCACUGGACUACACGUUAAUUUUAGGGGAAAGCGUAAUAAGAUUUGAUCCACCUAUGAAUAAUGAUGAAAAGAUUAUCGUUGUGCUAAGAAAUCAAGAAUUAUAAUGGAAAGAUUAAGAUUUUGCAAAGGAUCUCGUUUGUGGUCGCAGGUGAGGUUAGAACGCGGAGGCAAAAUGCAUUAGUGGUACAAUUUUAAACGUGGCCAGCUGCCUCGUGUUAUUAGACGUAUAUUUGGACCAUGGUCCUGCCGAAAUUUCUGUCCAUACUGAGAGAAUGAAUUAAUAAACAAUGAAAAGGGGUCAUUAUGGACCAAUAAAAUAUUCUAUGUCACAGAGGUGCUUAAGGCCCGCGCGGCUCUUCCUCAAAAUUAUGUCUUUCCAAUCCGCGGCUAACAUAAGUUACACGGAGAUUGCUGGAGGCUGCGUGUAAAUUAGCAUAGCUCCAUCCGCAACCUACAACGUAUAAGUACAGGAUGCAGAAGAUAAACCACGAUAGUCGAGAACACAGUUUAUCGUCGGCUGCGUUUGAUGCAUACAAUACUUAAGUAAGAGCAAGUUUGUACGUAUAUAUUAAAAACAUGUUUAACGUAACUUGAUGAUUAUUUAAUGAGAAUUCUAUUUAGCUUAUUAUUUGCCAGUAUAUAUUUAAUCUACUGAGCUGAAUUAUUUUUGAAGAAAAAUCCUAAGUUUUUGCAAAACCAAAUUGUAUUACAACAAAUUAUU